CAGUAGAGGACGGAGCUGGACAGUAGAGGACCUUAUGUCUAUUACAGUUUGUGAGGGAGGCGGAGAGGCCAGCCCAGCCUGACGAUGAGGGAGGAGGAGAGGACAGCCCAACCUGACGAUGAGGGAGGAGGAGAGGCCAGCCCAACCUGACGAUGAGGGAGGCGGAGAGGCCAGCCCAACCUGAGUCGCUACACGGUAGCAUCCAUAAUACGGACAUUUAGACUGGAGAACAGACGACUUCCCGUGGGUGGAAGACAACGUCUGUUCACCAUCAACAGGAACUGGCCGUCGUCAACCUAGUGUUGACAAACACCGCCAUCCGCCCACAUCAACUCUGAGAGAGCAAAUCAUCGCAGAUCACACAACAUUCCGUAUGUCGACAGUCUGCCGCAUCUUGCGUCAACACCAACUUACGAUGAAUCGGUUGUCCAGGGUUCCAUUUGAGAGGAACAGCGUAAGAGUCAAAGACACCUUCGCUGUGACUAUGUGCAAACGCCUGUAUGAGAACAUUGAAAAGGUAUACAAAGUACUGAAGAAAGCCAAAUUCCAGGACAAGUGUGUAAGCAAACGCAAAAAAUUAACUCA
This is a long non-coding RNA of Oncorhynchus nerka (sockeye salmon), 585 nucleotides long. RefSeq lists it as uncharacterized. The transcript has 3 exons. The record is from RefSeq and is a predicted model, not a curated record. NCBI's taxonomy places the organism in Eukaryota, Metazoa, Chordata, Actinopteri, Salmoniformes, Salmonidae.